AAUAUGGAUCGGAGGGAGUAC
This 21-nucleotide microRNA is filed under the name Triticum aestivum (bread wheat). RNAcentral describes it as "tae-miR5049-3p". Lineage: Eukaryota; Viridiplantae; Streptophyta; Magnoliopsida; Poales; Poaceae. The record is from miRBase by way of RNAcentral.